CGGCGUGCCUAAUACAUGCAAGUCGAGCGGAGAAAUGGGAGCUUGCUCCCAUUUCUCAGCGGCGGACGGGUGAGUAACACGUGGGCAACCUGCCCUACAGACUGGGAUAACUCCGGGAAACCGGAGCUAAUACCGGGUAAUACAUAGCAUCGCAUGAUGCAACGUUGAAAGUUGGCUUUCGAGCUAACACUGUAGGAUGGGCCCGCGGCGCAUUAGCUAGUUGGUAAGGUAACGGCUUACCAAGGCCACGAAUGCGUAGCCGACCUGAGAGGGUGAUCGGCCACACUGGGACUGAGACACGGCCCAGACUCCUACGGGAGGCAGCAGUAGGGAAUCUUCCGCAAUGGACGAAAGUCUGACGGAGCAACGCCGCGUGAGUGACAAAGGCUUUCGGGUCGUAAAGCUCUGUUGUUAGGGAAGAACAAGUACCGUUCGAAUAGGGCGGUACCUUGACGGUACCUAACCAGAAAGCCACGGCUAACUACGUGCCAGCAGCCACGGUAAUACGUAGGUGGCAAGCGUUGUCCGGAAUUAUUGGGCGUAAAGCGCGCGCAGGCGGUCUCUUAAGUCUGAUGUGAAAGCCCACGGCUCAACCGUGGAGGGCCAU
RNAcentral lists this ribosomal RNA (607 nucleotides) under Bacillus sp. TD13. RNAcentral describes it as "bacterial SSU rRNA". It matches the Rfam family "Bacterial small subunit ribosomal RNA", at positions 40 to 626 of the family's 1533-position model. Lineage: Bacteria; Bacillati; Bacillota; Bacilli; Caryophanales; Bacillaceae. The record is from RNAcentral.